ACUCAAAUGAAUAGACGGGGGCCCGCACAAGCGGAGGAACAUGUGGUUUAAUUCGAUGAUACGCGAGGAACCUUACCCGGGCUCGAACGCAGGGAGAAUGUAGGGGAAACUCUACAGUCGCAAGACUGCCUGCGAGGUGCUGCAUGGUUGUCGUCAGCUCGUGCCGUGAGGUGUCGGCUUAAGUGCCAUAACGAGCGCAACCCUUAUUGUUAGUUGCCAGCGGGUAAUGCCGGGGACUCUAGCAAAACUGCCAGCGUAAGCUGCGAGGAAGGUGGGGAUGACGUCAAAUCAGCACGGCCCUUACGUCCGGGGCGACACACGUGUUACAAUGGGAGGUACAGAAGGUUGCUACCACGCGAGUGGAUGCUAAUCCGUAAAGCCUCUCUCAGUUCGGAUCGAAGUCUGCAACUCGACUUCGUGAAGCUGGAUUCGCUAGUAAUCGCGCAUCAGCCAUGGCGCGGUGAAUACGUUCCCGGGCCUUGUACACACCGCCCGU
RNAcentral lists this ribosomal RNA (496 nucleotides) under uncultured bacterium. RNAcentral describes it as "bacterial SSU rRNA". It matches the Rfam family "Bacterial small subunit ribosomal RNA", at positions 899 to 1397 of the family's 1533-position model. The record is from RNAcentral.